RNAcentral lists this ribosomal RNA (469 nucleotides) under uncultured bacterium. RNAcentral's name for it is "partial 16S ribosomal RNA". It matches the Rfam family "Bacterial small subunit ribosomal RNA", at positions 28 to 507 of the family's 1533-position model. The record is from RNAcentral.
GACGAACGCUGGCGGCGUGCUUAACACAUGCAAGUCGAACGGAAAGGCCCUGCUUGCAGGGUGCUCGAGUGGCGAACGGGUGAGUAACACGUGGGUGAUCUGCCCCUUACUUUGGGAUAAGCCUGGGAAACUGGGUCUAAUACUGGAUAGGACCAUGCUGUAGGUGGUGUGGUGGGAAGAUUAGUUUCGGUAAGGGAUGAGCUCGCGGCCUAUCAGCUUGUUGGUGGGGUAAUGGCCUACCAAGGCGUCGACGGGUAGCCGGCCUGAGAGGGUGGACGGCCACAUUGGGACUGAGAUACGGCCCAGACUCCUACGGGAGGCAGCAGUGGGGAAUAUUGCACAAUGGGCGCAAGCCUGAUGCAGCGACGCCGCGUGGGGGAUGACGGCCUUCGGGUUGUAAACUCCUUUCAGCCAUGACGAAGCCCUUGUGGUGACGGUAGUGGUAGAAGAAGCACCGGCUAACUACGUG